RNAcentral lists this ribosomal RNA (530 nucleotides) under uncultured bacterium. Its description in RNAcentral is "bacterial SSU rRNA". It matches the Rfam family "Bacterial small subunit ribosomal RNA", at positions 539 to 1069 of the family's 1533-position model. The record is from RNAcentral.
CGUUGUCCGGAUUAUUGGGCGUAAAGCGCGCGCAGGCGGAUCUGCCAGUCUGUCUUAAAAGUUCGGGGCUCAACCCCGUGAUGGGAUGGAAACUACAGAUCUAGAGUAUCGGAGGGGAAAGUGGAAUUCCUAGUGUAGCGGUGAAAUGCGUAGAUAUUAGGAGGAACACCAGUGGCGAAGGCGACUUUCUGGACGAUCACUGACGCUGAGGCGCGAAAGCCAGGGGAGCGAACGGGAUUAGAUACCCCGGUAGUCCUGGCCGUAAACGAUGGGUACUAGGUGUAGGAGGUAUCGACCCCUUCUGUGCCGUAGUUAACGCAGUAAGUACCCCGCCUGGGGAGUACGGCCACAAGGUUGAAACUCAAAGGAAUUGACGGGGGCCCGCACAAACGGUGGAGUAUGUGGUUUAAUUCGACGCAACGCGAAGAACCUUACCAGGUCUUGACAUUGAUGGACAGGUCCAGAGAUGGACUCUCUUCUUCGGAAGCCAGAAAACAGGUGGUGCACGGUUGUCGUCAGCUCGUGUCGUG